CACAAUAGUAAACAGUAGACCCAAGAUUUCCUAUUUCUACCCCUUUGCUGUAGAAACCUCUCUACUGUGUUACCUCUUCUUCUUGGAAACAAGAAAUGAAUUGAAUAUGAAGCCUCUAUAAUACAUGCUUACCACUGAAAUGUCUUCUUAAACACUGUAUUUCAGAUAUAAAACUUAGAGGAGCUGUAAUUGCACAUCGAUCAUCUUUGACUUUCCUACACUGACUGCUCAUAGGGAGGGAGCUGAAAAUUAAAUCCUGAAGCCUGCCCCAUUUGGAGAGCAGCAUCCUGGCUUCUGGUGGCCACAGCAGCAGCCUUUCCAUCCAUUUCUUUUCUCACGAAGCUUCUUCUGGUUGGAAACUUAUCAAAUUUCAUCAGGUAAGAAGUACUGUGUGAACCUGUAACAUAUUUCAAAAGAACU
This 420-nucleotide long non-coding RNA is filed under the name Bos indicus x Bos taurus (hybrid cattle). Its description in RNAcentral is "lncRNA (ENSBIXG00005023269.1)". Lineage: Eukaryota; Metazoa; Chordata; Mammalia; Artiodactyla; Bovidae. The record is from RNAcentral.